AACGCUAGCUACAGGCUUAACACAUGCAAGUCGAGGGGCAGCAUGGUCUUAGCUUGCUAAGGCCGAUGGCGACCGGCGCACGGGUGAGUAACGCGUAUCCAACCUGCCUUACACUCUUGGACAGCCUUCUGAAAGGGAGAUUAAUACAAGAUGUUAUCAUGAGUAAGCAUUUUCGCAUGAUUAAAGGUUUACCGGUGUAAGAUGGGGAUGCGUUCCAUUAGAUAGUAGGCGGGGUAACGGCCCACCUAGUCUUCGAUGGAUAGGGGUUCUGAGAGGAAGGUCCCCCACAUUGGAACUGAGACACGGUCCAAACUCCUACGGGAGGCAGCAGUGAGGAAUAUUGGUCAAUGGACGAGAGUCUGAACCAGCCAAGUAGCGUGAAGGAUGAAGGUUCUAUGGAUUGUAAACUUCUUUUAUACGGGAAUAAACGGAUCCACGUGUGGAUUUUUGCAUGUACCGUAUGAAUAAGGAUCGGCUAACUCCGUGCCAGCAGCCGCGGUAAUACGGAGGAUCCGAGCGUUAUCCGGAUUUAUUGGGUUUAAAGGGAGCGUAGAUGGGUUGUUAAGUCAGUUGUGAAAGUUUGCGGCUCAACCGUAAAAUUGCAAUUGAUACUGGCAGUCUUGAGUACAGUUGAGGUAGGCGGAAUUCGUGGUGUAGCGGUGAAAUGCUUAGAUAUCACGAAGAACUCCGAUUGCGAAGGCAGCUUACUAACCUGUAACUGACAUUGAUGCUCGAAAGUGUGGGUAUCAAACAGGAUUAGAUACCCUGGUAGUCCACACGGUAAACGAUGAAUACUCGCUGUAGGCGAUAUACAGUCUGCGGCCAAGCGAAAGCAUUAAGUAUUCCACCUGGGGAGUACGCCGGCAACGGUGAAACUCAAAGGAAUUGACGGGGGCCCGCACAAGCGGAGGAACAUGUGGUUUAAUUCGAUGAUACGCGAGGAACCUUACCCGGGCUUAAAUUGCAACCGAAUAUGGCGGAAACGCUAUAGCUAGCAAUAGCGGUUGUGAAGGUGCUGCAUGGUUGUCGUCAGCUCGUGCCGUGAGGUGUCGGCUUAAGUGCCAUAACGAGCGCAACCCUUGCCGAUAGUUACUAACAGGUCAUGCUGAGGACUCUGUCGGGACUGCCAUCGUAAGAUGUGAGGAAGGUGGGGAUGACGUCAAAUCAGCACGGCCCUUACGUCCGGGGCUACACACGUGUUACAAUGGGGGGUACAGAGGGCUGCUACCACGCAAGUGGAUGCCAAUCCCAAAAACCUCUCUCAGUUCGGAUUGAAGUCUGCAACCCGACUUCAUGAAGCUGGAUUCGCUAGUAAUCGCGCAUCAGCCACGGCGCGGUGAAUACGUUCCCGGGCCUUGUACACACCGCCCGUCAAGCCAUGGGAGCCGGGGGUACCUGAAGUGCGUAACCGCAAGGAGCGCCCUAGGGUAAAACUGGUGACUGGGGC
RNAcentral lists this ribosomal RNA (1447 nucleotides) under uncultured organism. Its description in RNAcentral is "SSU rRNA". It matches the Rfam family "Bacterial small subunit ribosomal RNA". The record is from RNAcentral.